UACGAAGGGCCCGAGCGUUGCGCGGAUUCACUGGGCUUAAAGGGUGCGUAGGCGGAAUGGUCAGUGUCUUGUGAAAGCCCACGGCUCAACCGUGGAAAUGCAGGGCAUACUGCCAUUCUUGAGGCUGGUAUGCGUCGCCGGAACUGUAGGUGUAGCGGUGAAAUGCGUAGAUAUCUACAGGAACGCCGAAGGUGAAGACGGGCGACUGGGCCAGUUCUGACGCUGAGGCACGAAAGCGUGGGGAGCAAACAGG
Molecule: unclassified non-coding RNA, 253 nt
Filed under: uncultured Phycisphaeraceae bacterium
Lineage: Bacteria; Pseudomonadati; Planctomycetota; Phycisphaerae; Phycisphaerales; Phycisphaeraceae
Description: contains 16S-23S intergenic spacer region
Rfam family: Bacterial small subunit ribosomal RNA
Source: RNAcentral